RNAcentral lists this transfer RNA (71 nucleotides) under Cordylochernes scorpioides. RNAcentral describes it as "tRNA-Thr". The record is from RNAcentral. Lineage: Eukaryota; Metazoa; Arthropoda; Arachnida; Pseudoscorpiones; Chernetidae.
GGGUAGCCUAGUGGUCAUGGCAUCUGCCCGGUAAGCGGAAGGUCGUGGGUUUAUUUUAUCCAUUCUGACCA